This 468-nucleotide ribosomal RNA is filed under the name uncultured bacterium. Its description in RNAcentral is "partial 16S ribosomal RNA". It matches the Rfam family "Bacterial small subunit ribosomal RNA", at positions 28 to 507 of the family's 1533-position model. The record is from RNAcentral.
GACGAACGCUGGCGGCGUGCUUAACACAUGCAAGUCGAACGGUGAAGCUCCAGCUUGCUGGAGUGGAUCAGUGGCGAACGGGUGAGUAACACGUGAGCAACCUGCCCCUGACUCUGGAAUAAGCGCUGGAAACGGCGUCUAAUACUGGAUACGAGAAGGGUCCGCAUGGGCACUUUCUGGAAAGUUUUUCGGUUGGGGAUGGGCUCGCGGCCUAUCAGCUUGUUGGUGAGGUAAUGGCUCACCAAGGCGACGACGGGUAGCCGGCCUGAGAGGGCGAACGGCCACACUGGGACUGAGGCACGGACCAGACUCCUACGGGAGGCAGCAGUGGGGAAUAUUGCACAAUGGGCGAAAGCCUGAUGCAGCGGCGCCGCGUGAGGGAUGACGGCCUUCGGGUUGUAAACCUCUUUCAGCAGGGAAGAAGCGAAAGUGACGGUACCUGCAGAAGAAGCACCGGCUAACUACGUG